CUAAGACUAACAAGUUGGAGAGCUAAGCCUGGCUAUUUGGAGCUAAUUCUAGCAAGAGACUCCUGAUUGCUUUGCUUCUCAAGAAAAUUAAAUAGAUUAGAGAAUUUCCCAGUACGUGAAAGAACUGCUGCAUCACCUUCUCCAUAUCAGGAUGCUACAGUAUAUCUGCUCUGCUUUCUCUGUGCACCAGAUCCUGCACUGAGGUAUGGAAGGAGGGCAGCUCUGCUUUUCUCCAUCAGUGCUGCUGUCAGGAAAGGACAUCUCCUUUACCUCUGCAGUUAACAGAUAGAGCAUCCUGAAUACCAAAUAAUCCAUGAAGUGUGUUUAAGCACAGUAUUACUGAAGCAAGAUUGCUGCAUCAUUUGCGAACUUUCCCAUGGGGAAACAAAAAGGCAAAGCUGCAAUAAAUCUCCAGUGCCACAUCAUCUGCUGGAGAAGAAUUUGAAUGGCAGCAUGUACGCCCAUCAGCUUCAGGAGGGAAAAUGCGCUGUGCACAGAAUGGAUUUCCUAGAUGCUCACUGGGUUUACAGGUUCGCUUUAAAGAAGGAGAGACAUUCAAGUCACCUACUACCAUAGAAGAAACGAUCACUGUACAAAUGGAUUUCUUUU
Molecule: long non-coding RNA, 609 nt
Filed under: Coturnix japonica (Japanese quail)
Lineage: Eukaryota; Metazoa; Chordata; Aves; Galliformes; Phasianidae
Description: lncRNA (ENSCJPG00005003001.1)
Source: RNAcentral